UACAGAGGGUGCAAGCGUUAAUCGGAUUUACUGGGCGUAAAGCGCGCGUAGGUGGCCAAUUAAGUCAAAUGUGAAAUCCCCGAGCUUAACUUGGGAAUUGCAUUCGAUACUGGUUGGCUAGAGUAUGGGAGAGGAUGGUAGAAUUCCAGGUGUAGCGGUGAAAUGCGUAGAGAUNUGGAGGAAUACCGAUGGCGAAGGCAGCCCCUGGUUA
RNAcentral lists this ribosomal RNA (211 nucleotides) under uncultured bacterium. RNAcentral describes it as "partial 16S ribosomal RNA". It matches the Rfam family "Bacterial small subunit ribosomal RNA", at positions 524 to 736 of the family's 1533-position model. The record is from RNAcentral.